Molecule: long non-coding RNA, 1505 nt
Filed under: Micromonas commoda
Lineage: Eukaryota; Viridiplantae; Chlorophyta; Mamiellophyceae; Mamiellales; Mamiellaceae
Description: long non-coding RNA (MCOM_LNC000063)
Source: RNAcentral
GGUUUUUUUGGAGCAUCUGUUCAAAUUCUCAACCAAGCAAGCAAAAAAUCUUAACAGAGAUGUGCAACAUCGAGUUUAUUACGAAGGUAGUUAAUAAGGUAUUUUCGUUUCUUGCGUUAGUUAAUAAACCAGAAGAUUCCCCAUAUAUAUACGAGAUAGCCGAGAUAAGCGGAGUUAGGCCGUACGUGUGGAAAAUUAGCUAGUGUAAGAUUUUGACAUUAAAAUCAUGCAUGAAAUUCCCCUUGCUCGUCCAUUUAUAUUGCUUUAACAUAGUUACGAACGCGACCUGUAUGGUGAUUAGUUAUACGAGUUAAGCAAAUCAGCCAUCGUAUGGCAAUACAAAUGUAGUACAUGACACUUACAUGACUAUAUCGUACGCAUGAAUAAAAAUCGUAUGGAUAAAUAUACAAAUGCGAAUUACUUAUCUCCGCUUAACUAAACUACUUAACUUAAGGAUAGGGGUGUAGUAAUUAUUUAAUGAACACACUCGCGGAGAAAUUCAGCCGCGGUGUUUUAUCUGCAUAAAACAAAACCCUCAUUUUCCCGUUACCUGCGAACGUCCCUUCAAAUAAAGUUGUUGCGACCGAUUUUUGAGAAAGUGCCUCAUGACGCAAAGAUCCGCCUCAUCGUUUGGCCCCGCGGGAGGCGCGACUGCUCGGUGGCUAGGGGUUGAAUCAAAAAUCGGUCGCAACAACUUUGUCGGGCUCCUCGUUAGCUGCCCGAGGAUGUAAAAAAAAGCUGUCGAAGGUUGCGACUCGCUCGAGAACUUUCUUCGGGGGCGCUCGGGUGCCACGAUUGGACAUCACACUCGAGGGACACGCCGACGCGUGGAUACCGUGUACGCCCCGAUUUAUAAUUAAAUACUAUUCAGGGGGUUUGCAUAUCCUCCUCAGACACUAGACAUGCCUAGUAAGCCGAGCCGCGAGCGCGCGCGUUCUGCGCGCGUGUCUCGACGGCAUGUGCAAACAACAACAAAAAGCCUCCGAGGAGGGCUCGGAGCAUUUCAGAGACGGAAACGCUGGUUUAAUAACUCAAGGAAUAUGUGCUGACACGUGCUGGGCGCUAGUCAGAUAAUUACGUCACCCCUGUCGUUAUAAUGUUAUUUGUGAUCAAAUCGUUAGGUAUAUAAAUUAGGAGCCUGCUAAGAAGUGUAAACCUUAACUCUAAUUAGAAGAGCCCCAGUCCCCACUUUUUUUUCGCGAGUGUUUUGACUAAAAAAUCAGUCGCACGGGGCAAACGGUAUGUCAAGGUAUUUGUCCAUACGGUUUGAGCUUGUAUGGGCUUUUUGUGCCGAUGGAGCAUCCGUACAAAUUCUCUACCAUGUGUAUAUAUGUGAACGAAGGUUCAAAUGUACGAACGCGUAAUGAAGGUAAUAAAAUAAAUAUAAAUAAGCGUGAUGUUAUUAAAAAGAGCAAUCUUGAAUCAGUUGAUAAAAAAAUGUACGAAGGUACAAAAUUUUUGGGCGAAAUUUUGUCUCUUAAUAUAUUACCUUCGUAAUACGAAGC